RNAcentral lists this ribosomal RNA (253 nucleotides) under uncultured bacterium. RNAcentral describes it as "partial 16S ribosomal RNA". It matches the Rfam family "Bacterial small subunit ribosomal RNA", at positions 524 to 776 of the family's 1533-position model. The record is from RNAcentral.
UACGUACCGGACGAACGUUAUUCGGAAUCACUGGGCUUAAAGAGUGCGUAGGCGGCUUAGUAGGUGAGAUGUGAAAUCCCACGGCUCAACCGUGGAACUGCGUUUCAAACCACUAGGCUUGAGGGAGACAGGGGUGAGCGGAACUGAUGGUGGAGCGGUGAAAUGCGUUGAUAUCAUCAGGAACACCGGUGGCGAAGGCGGCUCACUGGGUCUCUUCUGACGCUGAGGCACGAAAGCGUGGGGAGCGAACAGG